GGCCCCGUGGUCAAGCGGUUAAGACACCGCCCUUUCACGGCGGUAACCCGAGUUCGAUCCUCGGCGGGGUCACCA
RNAcentral lists this transfer RNA (75 nucleotides) under Tissierellia bacterium. Its description in RNAcentral is "tRNA-Glu". It matches the Rfam family "tRNA". From Rfam's summary of the family: Transfer RNA (tRNA) molecules are approximately 80 nucleotides in length. Lineage: Bacteria; Bacillati; Bacillota; Tissierellia. The record is from RNAcentral.